RNAcentral lists this ribosomal RNA (253 nucleotides) under uncultured bacterium. RNAcentral describes it as "partial 16S ribosomal RNA". It matches the Rfam family "Bacterial small subunit ribosomal RNA", at positions 524 to 776 of the family's 1533-position model. The record is from RNAcentral.
UACGGGGGGGGCAAGCGUUGUUCGGAAUUACUGGGCGUAAAGGGCUCGUAGGCGGCCAACUAAGUCAGACGUGAAAUCCCCCGGCUUAACCAGGGAACUGCGUCUGAUACUGGAUGGCUAGAGGUUGGGAGAAGGAUGCGGAAUUCCAGGUGUAGCGGUGAAAUGCGUAGAUAUCUGGAGGAACACCGGUGGCGAAGGCGGCAUCCUGGACCAAUUCUGACGCUGAUGAGCGAAAGCCAGGGGAGCAAACGGG